This 253-nucleotide ribosomal RNA is filed under the name uncultured bacterium. Its description in RNAcentral is "partial 16S ribosomal RNA". It matches the Rfam family "Bacterial small subunit ribosomal RNA", at positions 524 to 776 of the family's 1533-position model. The record is from RNAcentral.
UACGUAGGGGGCGAGCGUUGUCCGGAAUCAUUGGGCGUAAAGCGCGUGUAGGCGGCUCGGUAAGUCCGUUGUGAAACCUUGGGGCUCAACCCCAAGCCUGCACUGGAUACUGUCGAGCUCGAGUCCGGGAGGGGAGAGCGGAAUUCCUAGUGUAGCGGUGAAAUGCGCAGAUAUUAGGAAGAACACCGGUGGCGAAGGCGGCUCUCUGGAACGGUACUGACGCUGAGACGCGAAAGCGUGGGGAGCGAACCGG